CAGUGGGGAAUAUUGCACAAUGGGGGAAACCCUGAUGCAGCGACGCCGCGUGAGUGAAGAAGUGCUUCGGCAUGUAAAGCUCUAUCAGCAGGGAAGAAGAUGACGGUACCUGACUAAGAAGCCCCGGCUAACUACGUGCCAGCAGCCGCGGUAAUACGUAGGGGGCAAGCGUUAUCCGGAUUUACUGGGUGUAAAGGGAGCGUAGGUGGCAGAUCAAGUCAGAUGUGAAAGCCCGUGGCUCAACUGCGGGAUUGCAUUUGAAACUGGUUUGCUAGAGUGCAGGAGAGGUAAGUGGAAUUCCUAGUGUAGCGGUGAAAUGCGUAGAUAUUAGGAGGAACACCAGUGGCGAAGGCGGCUUACUGGACUGUAACUGACACUGAGGCUCGAAAGCGUGGGGAGCAAACA
This 405-nucleotide ribosomal RNA is filed under the name uncultured bacterium. RNAcentral describes it as "bacterial SSU rRNA". It matches the Rfam family "Bacterial small subunit ribosomal RNA", at positions 352 to 774 of the family's 1533-position model. The record is from RNAcentral.